RNA transcript from Ananas comosus (pineapple), 2407 nucleotides. RefSeq lists it as uncharacterized. The record is from RefSeq and is a predicted model, not a curated record. NCBI's taxonomy places the organism in Eukaryota, Viridiplantae, Streptophyta, Magnoliopsida, Poales, Bromeliaceae. The transcript has 8 exons.
AUACUCCUCCACACCAUCAACACCACCCCCUUCGCCUUUUCCAAAGUUUGUGUGACCUCUCUCGCCUUUUAACUGCUUUUCCUGUUCUUGUUCUUCUUCUUGCUCUUCUUCUCUCAGCGCCCCCUCCCUCCCCACAAAUCGCCAUGGACGACCCCUUCAUCCGCGGCUACGACCCCUCCGAGCUCGAGAUCGCGGCCGAGUUCCUCACCACGUGGCUCCCCUUCCUCUCCAGCGGCCUCUGCGACCCCUGCGCCACCGCACUCCGCCGCCGCAUCCUCUCCCUCCGCCCAGGUUCCUCCGCUGGCGCCGAGCCCUCUGAUCGGAUCGCGCCCACGGGGUGGGAUUCCGAGUCUCCGAAGGCCCGGAUGUCGUGGGCCGACAUGGCGCAGGAGGACGAGCUCGAGGAGGAGGAGGCGGAGGCGGAAGGAGAGGAGACGGGGAAGGGGAAGAAGAAGCCGGAGCUGUCGAGGGAGCAGAGGGAGCAGAUACGGUUCAAGAAUGUCGGGAGGAAGAAGGACUUUGUGUGCCUGGAGAGGGUCAACGGACGGCUUGUGAACAUCCUCGCCGGCCUCGAGCUCCACACCGGAGUUUUCAGUGCCGUGGAGCAGAAGAGGAUUGUCGAUUUCAUGUAUGAGCUCCAGGAGAAGGGGCGGAACGGCCAGCUUGGAGAGCGCACAUACUCAGAACCGGAUAAAUGGAUGCGAGGCAAAGGACGAGUGACCAUCCAGUUUGGAUGCUGUUAUAAUUAUGCUAAGGAUAAGGAAGGAAACCUACCAGGCAUCCUUCGGCAUGUUGUAGCUGAUCCGAUACCUGAUCUUUUCAAAGUGAUAAUAAGGAGGUUGAUCCGGUGGCAUGUGCUGCCCCCUGCAUGUAUACCUGAUAGUUGUAUUGUCAACAUCUACGAGCCAGGAGAUUGCAUACCGCCUCAUAUUGACAGCCAUGAUUUCGUUCGGCCUUUUUGUACUGUUUCGUUUCUUAGCGAGUGCAAUAUACUCUUUGGAUCCAAUCUAAAGAUUGCAGGGCCUGGCGAGUUUACUGGUUCAUCUGCAAUUCCGUUACCUGUUGGGUCUGUGUUGGUCAUGAAUGGCAAUGGAGCUGAUUUAGCAAAGCAUUGUGUGCCAGCAGUCCCAACCAAAAGGAUAUCUAUUACCUUCAGAAAGAUGGAUGAAACAAAGCGUCCUAUUGAGUUCAUACCCGAACCAGAUUUGCAGAACAUUGUUCCACUUCCUUAUGAUUCAGGUGUGAAUGAAUCACCACUGCAUGGUGACAAGGGCACAACAUCUGCAGUUCAGGACAAACGCGAAGGUAAAAAUUACAAAGCGAGGAGAUCCAGAGGGAGGAGUGGUCCGAGACGUGACCAGAGGUUUCAGGAACGCCAACCAGUUCUACAUGAUCAAAUCGCUCCAACAGAGAAAUCGCCUCUCCCAAGAAUGGAUGGCCAACACGCUAUGACUGGUGAUACUGCAGAGAGAGGAAGAGACCUAGCUGAGAAUUCAAUAGAAUCUGAGUCUAAAUCAGAUUCGCAAGGCACCCAAUUGCAUCGUUGUGACGGAGAUGAGCACAUAAAAUGGUCAACACAGGGAAGGCGGUUUGAAGAAGGGACAGGUAGCGUGGAAGAUAAUAGGCAAUAUGCUGAUAGGAGAGUGCGGAUCGACCAGAGGAAUAUUAUUGUUAGCCGCAACUUCAACCAGGGAGAGCAAGCAGAGAAUCGCACUUCUGAACCAACCGGCAUUUCUGGCAUUCAUGUUUGAACCCUCUACAACCCCCGUAGAAGGGGCAGAGUAUGACGCUAGCGUGACGACCUGCAAGAUUUGCCAUCAUUUUCUUCUGGUGAUUGAGACAGUUGAUUGGUCAAGAGAGAUCUCCAUGUAAAGCAAGGGAAGCUUGUGAGAAGCGAAUGCAAAAUCAUCAUUUGUCUGAGAGAAUUGUAACCUCGCGCUGUUUAGCAUGCUUUGUGCUACCUGCUGCUGUUAAUAAUGACUCCUCUUACUUCAAUCCUUGAUGAUUAUAAUAUGAAAAUGCUUUAGCAAAAUUGUACUGUAAUUAUCGGUCUCUCCAUUGUUAAUUUUGUCUUAGUCUUUGCUUUUUUUUUUUUUUUUUUUUUUUUUUUUUUUUUUUUUUUUUUUUUUUUUUUCCCUCUACUGUUGGUUUGGUGGUUAAAAAGUUCGUGAUAUCAAACUGGUGGUGAUGUUAGGUCUUUUAGUUAUUGUGACAAUAAUUAGGUAAAUAUGUACAUGGAACCCCCUCUAUUAUUGGCAACUUUGGAAAAGACAUUUAACUCUUUUGCUCUGGAUGGGCUGUACCUCAACUCUUUGUUUAGGGGCUGUUUGUUUGUAAGAUUUUGAGAAUGUUGUAUAUUUUAUAGGGAAAACUUUGAGGACCACCCAUGUGAUUUUGCACUUUCUCA